This 490-nucleotide ribosomal RNA is filed under the name uncultured bacterium. RNAcentral's name for it is "partial 16S ribosomal RNA". It matches the Rfam family "Bacterial small subunit ribosomal RNA", at positions 30 to 507 of the family's 1533-position model. The record is from RNAcentral.
AUUGAACGCUGGCGGCAUGCUUUACACAUGCAAGUCGGACGGCAGCGGGGUAGUGCUUGCACUACUGCCGGCGAGUGGCGAACGGGUGAGUAAUAUAUUGGAACGUACCGAGUAAUGGGGGAUAACCAAUCGAAAGAUUGGCUAAUACCGCAUACGCUCUGAGGAGGAAAGCAGGGGACCUUCGGGCCUUGCGUUAUUCGAGCGGCCAAUAUCUGAUUAGCUAGUUGGUGGGGUAAGGGCCUACCAAGGCGACGAUCAGUAGCGGGUCUGAGAGGAUGAUCCGCCACACUGGGACUGAGACACGGCCCAGACUCCUACGGGAGGCAGCAGUGGGGAAUUUUGGACAAUGGGCGAAAGCCUGAUCCAGCCAUGCCGCGUGUCUGAAGAAGGCCUUCGGGUUGUAAAGGACUUUUGUUAGGGAAGAAAAAGGAGCGGUUAAUACCCGUUUCUGCUGACGGUACCUAAAGAAUAAGCACCGGCUAACUACGUG